CCGAACCUAAAACAAACCAUACUAAAUAGCAUUAUGUCGUUAAUCACCAUUCUAAUUGCUUGAAGAGAUAAAUGAAACAGAAAAGAAACAAAAUGACAACCAAAUUCUGAUAAGAACUUGCUUAAUCCUUCAGACAAAUGCAAAAGAUUAGCAGAUUCAAAUAGAUUAAAAAAAACAAUACUAAGAAGAUGUAAGUUAAAAAAAAUAAUAAUAAGAUCAGAUUUGAAUUAUUUUGAGGCUCAGAUGUGUAAACAAUCGAACAAAAAGGAUAAAUCCGCCAUGGCUGCAAACUUACAGGUUGCCCCGCCAAGAUACAGAUAAUCUCAACUUUGAUCGAAUCCACUCAGACACAUUCAAAUAUUCAUCAUCACAGCCUCUUUAGCAGUAGUAGUAGUAAACAGAAAUACAAGAUUUGGUGUUGGAUUUGUGAUGCUCUUAUAGGACUUCUGAGAAUCUUGUAUGGAUGAAUGAAUGAAUGAAAAGAGCUGUUGAUUUCUUAAGAUAACCAAUGUUUGCAUGAAAAACACAAAAUUGGUCUUCGAUUUGAGCAAACUAAAAAGAUGUAAACUUAACUACUUUUAUGUCAAUUUCCCAAAUAGAUACAUGCUAAGAUAUGAAAUCAUCGGCAUAGAAGAACAAUAUUUGACAGAAAAAGUCAAAAUUGAACUUCUAUUUCAUCGCUUCUGAAAUGGCCUCAUUUUGUCUGAGUGGAAGUGUUUACAUUACAAAUUACAAAGUCCAGAUGUUACCUUUGAUUUCCAUCUUUUAUAUAUAGAUCAAGAACACUGUAUACUGUAUGAUCUUGGAUGAGAGGCUCAGAUCUGCAAGUUUGGAAUUCGAAUCGGAGAAAGGGGAUCAGACACCGCCAUGGCUGCAACACCAUUUGUGUUGCCCCGCCAAGUUACGGGCUGAGUUUCACCCAUCGCCGGAAACUGGAGCUCGGAAAAUGUUAAUGCAGAGGAAUAUCAUCAUCGCCUCAACAUUUUUUUGGUACAUGUUGUGUAGAUUUGUAGAGGAUCUGAAGAUCAGAAGAUAAAAUGUUACAAUCGAAACAGGUCCCGGAAAGAAACCUGUUGAUCAGAAGCAGCCAUGAAACUUUGAAUGGAUUGGAGAUGAUCUCUCAUGAAAAAAUAAAUAAAUAAAUAGAAGCGUAUAUUUGAAGAUCCAGAGGGAAAAGAACUUCUGUUUCUGCUUAUGCGCUACAAGGGCUGUUGAUUAGUGUUGAAUAAAGAGAGUCAUGAUCAUCAGCUCAACAUGAUCGGAUUCCGAGUCAUGUUAUGGCAAGAGAGGGGCAACCACCCUCUUGAAACUUCCCGUCUCUCUCGCCGGAGCCUCCAUUUUUUCCGAGCAAACUCAACUCAACUCGCCCAGUUUAUCUGGUUUUUGUGGGUUUAAAAC
RNAcentral lists this long non-coding RNA (1398 nucleotides) under Lactuca sativa (garden lettuce). RNAcentral describes it as "long non-coding RNA (LSAT_LNC007220)". Lineage: Eukaryota; Viridiplantae; Streptophyta; Magnoliopsida; Asterales; Asteraceae. The record is from RNAcentral.